Molecule: unclassified non-coding RNA, 21 nt
Filed under: Chlamydomonas reinhardtii
Lineage: Eukaryota; Viridiplantae; Chlorophyta; Chlorophyceae; Chlamydomonadales; Chlamydomonadaceae
Description: small RNA Cre_0455
Source: RNAcentral
AGCAGCAUGUGCGGGAUCCAG